This 258-nucleotide ribosomal RNA is filed under the name uncultured bacterium. Its description in RNAcentral is "partial 16S ribosomal RNA". It matches the Rfam family "Bacterial small subunit ribosomal RNA", at positions 523 to 776 of the family's 1533-position model. The record is from RNAcentral.
GAGCAGAGGGUGCAAACGUUGUUUCGGAAUUACUGGGCGUAAAGCGCGUGUAGGCGGCCAACUAAGUCGGGCGUGAAAUCCCACGGCUCAACCGUGGAAGUGCACUCGAAACUGGAUGGCUAGAGUCCUGGAGAGGAAGGUGGAAUGCUUGGUGUAGAGGUGAAAUUCGUAGAUAUCAAGCGGAACACCGGUGGCGAAGGCGGCCUUCUGGACAGUGACGUGACGCUGAGACGGCGAAAAGCGUGGGGAGCAAACAGG